This 70-nucleotide transfer RNA is filed under the name Leishmania tarentolae. RNAcentral's name for it is "tRNA-Pro". It matches the Rfam family "tRNA". From Rfam's summary of the family: Transfer RNA (tRNA) molecules are approximately 80 nucleotides in length. The record is from RNAcentral. Lineage: Eukaryota; Euglenozoa; Kinetoplastea; Trypanosomatida; Trypanosomatidae.
GGUCCAGUGGUCUAGUGGCAUGAUUCUCCCUUAGGGUGGGAGACGUCCCGGUUCAAUUCCGGCUGGACCC